CAGUUCUGGAGGCUGGGAUAUCCAAACUCAUGGUGCCGGCAGAUUCGUGUCUGGUGAGGACUGUUUUCUCUGCUUCAAGAUGGAGCCCUGUUGCUGCAUCUUUUCUAGGAAGAUGAACACUGUCCUCCUAUGGUGGAACAGAAGGGAAAAAGGCAUGAACGGCUCCCUUGUGCCUCUCAUAUAAGAUGUAUUAAAAUGCCUUCUGUAAUCUC
This 212-nucleotide long non-coding RNA is filed under the name Homo sapiens (human). RNAcentral describes it as "HSALNT0350509". Lineage: Eukaryota; Metazoa; Chordata; Mammalia; Primates; Hominidae. The record is from RNAcentral.